Molecule: ribosomal RNA, 385 nt
Filed under: uncultured bacterium
Lineage: Bacteria
Description: bacterial SSU rRNA
Rfam family: Bacterial small subunit ribosomal RNA
Source: RNAcentral
AUUGAACGCUGGCGGCAUGCCUUACACAUGCAAGUCGAACGGCAGCACGGGAGCAAUCCUGGUGGCGAGUGGCGAACGGGUGAGUAAUAUAUCGGAACGUGCCCAGUCGUGGGGAUAACGUAGCGAAAGCUACGCUAAUACCGCAUACGAUCUAUGGAUGAAAGCGGGGGAUCGCAAGACCUCGCGCGAUUGGAGCGGCCGAUAUCAGAUUAGGUAGUUGGUGAGGUAAAGGCUCACCAAGCCGACGAUCUGUAGCUGGUCUGAGAGGAUGAUCAGCCACACUGGGACUGAGACACGGCCCAGACUCCUACGGGGAGCAGCAGUGGGGAAUAUUGGACAAUGGGCGAAAGCCUGAUCCAGCAAUGCCGCGUGAGUGAUGAAGGCC